This 253-nucleotide ribosomal RNA is filed under the name uncultured bacterium. RNAcentral's name for it is "partial 16S ribosomal RNA". It matches the Rfam family "Bacterial small subunit ribosomal RNA", at positions 524 to 776 of the family's 1533-position model. The record is from RNAcentral.
UACAGAGGUCUCAAGCGUUGUUCGGAUUCAUUGGGCGUAAAGGGUGCGUAGGCGGCGCGGUAAGUCGGGUGUGAAAUCUCGAAGCUUAACUCCGAAACUGCAUUCGAUACUGCCGUGCUUGAGGACUGGAGAGGAGACUGGAAUUUACGGUGUAGCGGUGAAAUGCGUAGAUAUCGUAAGGAAGACCAGUGGCGAAGGCGGGUCUCUGGACAGUUCCUGACGCUGAGGCACGAAGGCCAGGGGAGCAAACGGG